AUACGUAGGUGGCAAGCGUUGUCCGGAUUUAUUGGGCGUAAAGCGAGCGCAGGCGGUUUCUUAAGUCUGAUGUGAAAGCCCCCGGCUCAACCGGGGAGGGUCAUUGGAAACUGGGAGACUUGAGUGCAGAAGAGGAGAGUGGAAUUCCAUGUGUAGCGGUGAAAUGCGUAGAUAUAUGGAGGAACACCAGUGGCGAAGGCGGCUCUCUGGUCUGUAACUGACGCUGAGGCUCGAAAGCGUGGGGAGCAAACAGGAUUAGAUACCCUGGUAGUCCACGCCGUAAACGAUGGAUACUAGGUGUAGGAGGGUCCAACCUCCUGUGCCGCCGCAAACGCAUUAAGUAUCCCGCCUGGGGAGUACGGUCGCAAGAUUAAA
RNAcentral lists this ribosomal RNA (375 nucleotides) under uncultured bacterium. RNAcentral's name for it is "bacterial SSU rRNA". It matches the Rfam family "Bacterial small subunit ribosomal RNA", at positions 523 to 898 of the family's 1533-position model. The record is from RNAcentral.